GCCGGAGUAGCUCAGUGGUAGAGCAGCACUUUCGUAAAGUGAAGGCCGCGAGUUCGAAUCUCGCCUCCGGCUCCA
RNAcentral lists this transfer RNA (75 nucleotides) under Candidatus Sungiibacteriota bacterium. Its description in RNAcentral is "tRNA-Thr". It matches the Rfam family "tRNA". From Rfam's summary of the family: Transfer RNA (tRNA) molecules are approximately 80 nucleotides in length. Their secondary structure includes four short double-helical elements and three loops (D, anti-codon, and T loops). Further hydrogen bonds mediate the characteristic L-shaped molecular structure. tRNAs have two regions of fundamental functional importance: the anti-codon, which is responsible for specific mRNA codon recognition, and the 3' end, to which the tRNAs corresponding amino acid is attached (by aminoacyl-tRNA synthetases). tRNAs cope with the degeneracy of the genetic code in two manners: having more than one tRNA (with a specific anti-codon) for a particular amino acid; and 'wobble' base-pairing, i.e. permitting non-standard base-pairing at the 3rd anti-codon position. Lineage: Bacteria; Candidatus Sungiibacteriota. The record is from RNAcentral.